Molecule: transfer RNA, 85 nt
Filed under: Crocinitomicaceae bacterium
Lineage: Bacteria; Pseudomonadati; Bacteroidota; Flavobacteriia; Flavobacteriales; Crocinitomicaceae
Description: tRNA-Leu
Rfam family: tRNA
About the family: Transfer RNA (tRNA) molecules are approximately 80 nucleotides in length. Their secondary structure includes four short double-helical elements and three loops (D, anti-codon, and T loops).
Source: RNAcentral
ACCCGGGUGGUGGAAUUGGUAGACACGCCAGCUUGAGGGGCUGGUGCCCGUUUAGGGCGUGCUGGUUCGAGUCCAGUCCCGGGUA